RNAcentral lists this unclassified non-coding RNA (327 nucleotides) under fungal sp. Its description in RNAcentral is "partial internal transcribed spacer region". The stretch from base 1 to 46 matches the Rfam family "Eukaryotic small subunit ribosomal RNA", at positions 1786 to 1831 of the family's 1831-position model. Lineage: Eukaryota; Fungi. The record is from RNAcentral.
AAGUCGUAACAAGGUUUCCGUAGGUGAACCUGCGGAAGGAUCAUUACCAAAUCCAAAUACCUAAACCCCAUGUGAACUAUUGUUUAGUCUGUCUUUGGGAGAAAGAUGAAAAGAGGAAAGGAAGAUAGUAUUUUUAAGGAGUUUUAUUCUCUGUUAUUGUCUUCUUUUUUUUCCUAGUAGUAUUUCUCCCAAUAGAGUCCGGCGCAAUCGUUUGGUUGUGUCCAGAUUCGAAACCCCUUUUAUAAAACCACUUGAUUUUUCUGUUGGAAUUUCUUUUAUUAAUUUUAAAUAAAAGACAACUUUUAACGGUGGAUCUCUUGGCUCGUG